CCUACGGGAGGCAGCAGUGAGGAAUAUUGGUCAAUGGACGAGAGUCUGAACCAGCCAAGUAGCGUGAAGGAUGACUGCCCUAUGGGUUGUAAACUUCUUUUAUAUGGGAAUAAAACGUUCCACGUGUGGGAUUUUGUAUGUACCAUAUGAAUAAGGAUCGGCUAAAUCCGUGCCAGCAGCCGCGGGAAUACGGAGGAUCCGAGCGUUAUCCGGAUUUAUUGGGUUUCAAGGGAGCGGAGGUGGAUUGUUAAGUCAGUUGUGAAAGUUUGCGGCUCAAACGUAAAAUUGCAGUUGAAACUGGCUGGCUUGAGUACAGGAGAGGUAGGCGGAAUUCGUGGUGUAGCGGUGAAAUGCUUAGAUAUCACGAAGAACUCCGAUGGCGAAGGCAGCUUACUGGAGUGCAACUGACGCUGAGGCUCGAAAGUGUGGGGAUCGAACAGGAUUAGAUACCCUAGUAGUC
RNAcentral lists this ribosomal RNA (460 nucleotides) under uncultured bacterium. RNAcentral describes it as "partial 16S ribosomal RNA". It matches the Rfam family "Bacterial small subunit ribosomal RNA", at positions 338 to 795 of the family's 1533-position model. The record is from RNAcentral.